GACCUACGGGAGGCAGCAGUGGGGAAUAUUGCACAAUGGGGGAAACCCUGAUGCAGCGACGCCGCGUGAGCGAAGAAGUAUUUCGGUAUGUAAAGCUCUAUCAGCAGGGAAGAAAAAUGACGGUACCUGAGUAAGAAGCACCGGCUAAAUACGUGCCAGCAGCCGCGGUAAUACGUAUGGUGCAAGCGUUAUCCGGAUUUACUGGGUGUAAAGGGAGCGCGGGCGGUAUGGCAGGUCAGAUGUGAAAACCCAGGGCUCAACCCUGGGACUGCAUUUGAAACUGCCAUACUGGAGUGCCGGAGAGG
RNAcentral lists this ribosomal RNA (305 nucleotides) under uncultured bacterium. Its description in RNAcentral is "bacterial SSU rRNA". It matches the Rfam family "Bacterial small subunit ribosomal RNA", at positions 334 to 657 of the family's 1533-position model. The record is from RNAcentral.